UUGACCUACGGGGCGCAGCAGUGAGGAAUAUUGGUCAAUGGGCUUACGCCUGAACCAGCCAAGUCGCGUGAGGGAAGACUGCCCUAUGGGUUGUAAACCUCUUUUGUCAGGGAGCAACGCCGGCUACGUGUAGCCGGACUGAGAGUACCUGAAGAAAAAGCAUCGGCUAAUUCCGUGCCAGCAGCCGCGGUAAUACGGAAGGUCCGGGCGUUAUCCGGAUUUAUUGGGUUUAAAGGGAGCGUAGGCCGGCUUUUAAGUCAGCUGUGAAAGUCCGCGGCUCAACCGUGGAAUUGCAGUUGAAACUG
This 305-nucleotide ribosomal RNA is filed under the name uncultured bacterium. Its description in RNAcentral is "bacterial SSU rRNA". It matches the Rfam family "Bacterial small subunit ribosomal RNA", at positions 334 to 635 of the family's 1533-position model. The record is from RNAcentral.